RNAcentral lists this unclassified non-coding RNA (253 nucleotides) under uncultured Halomonadaceae bacterium. RNAcentral describes it as "contains 16S-23S intergenic spacer region". It matches the Rfam family "Bacterial small subunit ribosomal RNA", at positions 524 to 776 of the family's 1533-position model. Lineage: Bacteria; Pseudomonadati; Pseudomonadota; Gammaproteobacteria; Oceanospirillales; Halomonadaceae. The record is from RNAcentral.
UACGGCGGGUGCGAGCGUUAAUCGGAAUUACUGGGCGUAAAGCUCGCGUAGGCGGCGUGAUAAGCCGGUUGUGAAAGCCCCGGGCUCAACCUGGGAACGGAAUCCGGAACUGUCAGGCUAGCGUGCAGGAGAGGAAGGUAGAAUUCCCGGUGUAGCGGUGAAAUGCGUAGAGAUCGUGAGGAAUACCGGUGGCGAAGGCGGCCUUCUGGACUGACACUGACGCUGAGGUGCGAAAGCGUGGGUAGCAAACAGG